Molecule: long non-coding RNA, 1412 nt
Filed under: Sander lucioperca (pikeperch)
Lineage: Eukaryota; Metazoa; Chordata; Actinopteri; Perciformes; Percidae
Description: lncRNA (ENSSLUG00000014002.1)
Source: RNAcentral
GAGAUAUGUGGCCAGCUGGACCAUGUUCAGAAGUUCAUCACCUGGGCUACGACCCACCACUGCAGAGGCCCGGUACUCUUCAGCAGGGCUCUGAUUUCUCUCCAGAUGCAGCAACUGUUUGAGUCGUCACUCCACUCAGACUCUUGGACUCCUGUCAGGAUCAAAUUCAACUGGGAUGCUAGUUACUGGACCAAGCAGAUUUCCUCUUUAGGUCAGCUGACUGUUGAAGGAGGAAACUGCACUUAUCCUCAGGGCUUGGCCUGCUCCAGUAUUCUGAGGCCUCAGCCCAUCCCCUGCUUAGGUCUGUCGUCUGUGUGUCACAGAGGACCAGAACCAGGCUGUGGGUACCAGAACUGCUGCGAGCCCCAGAUGUGUUGCCUUCAUGGCAUUCCCUCUCAGCCAGAUCCAUCCAGUCUGGAAAAAAGCCAGCUGGAAGUCCCACUUUAUAACUCCAGCUGUGUUCAGCCUGCCCUUAUCUCUGCCUCCUUGCACCAGAGCCAACAGCUCCAGAGGUUUUGGGAGCCAGACAGCCCAUCGCAAUGUCCUCCCCCUUCAUCACCUGUCCCAAUCAUGGGACCCAUCCAGUUUAACUGCAGUCGAGGAUCUACAUCUCAACCACAGGCUGCUGCCUCUCAGCCCCAGUCUCAAACUAAAUCUUAUCUCUAUCGUCAACAACCGAGAGAAGUUCUUCCAGACAGCCAGGCUCAGCCGAGUGCAGCCCGUAGCAGGCAAGGCCAACGUCAGAGGAAGCUGUCGACCAGCAUGGCUCUGCAGCACGAUCUCAGCCACACAGCCGCGGACAGAGAUGUGAUGACUGAAGAGAACUGGGAGGAGAACUGCAGAGUGGAGGAGGCUCGGACAAAUGAGCUGCUGGAUGUGGAGCUGCGGCAGGACAGGAGGGAGCAGAGUCCUGUCCAACAGCAGCAGCAGCUCCAUGUUCCUCCUGCAGCAGAGCUGAGAAAAGAGCUGCAGAGAAACAGACCUGCACUGAUGCUGAGAGACCGCAGAAAUAGCAGGAGAUCCACAUCCCUGGAGGUGUCGGUGACAGCCCACAAGUGUGUAACUGAUGUGCAGAGCAGCAGGCUCAGCCCUAGUUUAGUGUGCACGAGGAAGGAAAGACGCUCCCAGAGCAUCCCGGCAGAACUGGCAACCCCAUCCACCAGCCCUUACACUGAAAGGCCCACAGGAUGCACUCACAGCCUACAGGCAGGAGCUGCAACUAAGUAUGUCAGUAUGGAUCCCAGACAGAGGAGAGCUUCAGAUGGGGUGCUUUGUGUGGUCAAGGAAACUUCGUCUGACACAGCGCCCUCCACAGGCCACCGGUCUCCUCUACUAUCUUAUAAAACAGAGCCAGAUCAUUCUAUUACUUAUGUAAAUGAAGAGAUUGAUUAUGAGGCCAAAGGGAAAUGCAC